GGAUGCAAUAUACCUUCUAGGCUUCUUUUGGUGACUGGACCAGAGAGGAGUUAAUCAGCUCCCUUGAACUUGCCCUAACCAUGAAGGCUUGGUGUGUCCUCCUUUUCCUCACCUUUGUGAUUCUUUCUGAUCUGGGUGAAGCAGUGAGGAUAAUGGAUUCGAGAACAUGCCUGAUAAAUAAAGGAGUUUGCAAAAAGUCAUGUCCUGAUCAUCUGACAAAGAUAGGACUUUGUCAUGUCAAUGAGCCUUGCUGCAAAGCGUAAGGAAAAGCUAAAGGAAAGACGUGUGAUCAAGACAUGGAAAAACCAUCAUCUUCUACAUGAAUGCCUGAUAGAACAUGAGAAAAAUUUAAAUUUUUAAAUUUAAAAACAUAAGAAAGAUCCGGCUGUUUUGAAUGCUUUCAAACAAUUAUUCUAAUUAAAAUAAUCUGGCUUUACUAA
Crotalus tigris (Tiger rattlesnake) is the source of this 440-nucleotide long non-coding RNA. RefSeq lists it as uncharacterized. Lineage: Eukaryota; Metazoa; Chordata; Lepidosauria; Squamata; Viperidae. The transcript has 3 exons. The record is from RefSeq and is a predicted model, not a curated record.